CCUACGGGAGGCAGCAGUGGGGAAUAUUGCACAAUGGUGGGAACCCUGAUGCAGCGACGCCGCGUGGGUGAAGGAGUAUUUCGGUAUGUAAAGCCCUAUCAGCCGGGGAGAACAAUGACGGUACCUGCCUAAGAAGCACCGGCUAAAUACGUGCCAGCCGCCGCGGUAAUACGGAUGGUGCACGCGUUAUCCGGAUUUCCUGGGUGUAAAGGGAGCGCAGGCGGCGCGGUCAGACUGGUGUGAACGUCCGCGGCCCAACCGCGGGACUGCAUUGGAAACUGGCGCGCUGGAGUUCCGGAGGGGUAUGCGGAAGGCCUGGUGUAGCGGUGAAAUGCGUAGAUAUUAGGAGGAACACCAGUGGCGAAGGCGGCCUACUGGACGGUGACUGACGCUGAGGCUCGAAAGCGUGGGGAGCAAACAGGAUUAGAUACCCCAGUAGUC
This 441-nucleotide ribosomal RNA is filed under the name uncultured bacterium. Its description in RNAcentral is "partial 16S ribosomal RNA". It matches the Rfam family "Bacterial small subunit ribosomal RNA", at positions 338 to 795 of the family's 1533-position model. The record is from RNAcentral.